Molecule: ribosomal RNA, 253 nt
Filed under: uncultured bacterium
Lineage: Bacteria
Description: partial 16S ribosomal RNA
Rfam family: Bacterial small subunit ribosomal RNA
Source: RNAcentral
UACGCAGGGGGCUAGCGUUGUCCGGAAUCAUUGGGCGUAAAGAGCGUGUAGGCGGUCCGGUAAGUCCGUUGUGAAAGUCAAGGGCUCAACCCUUGAAUGCCGGCGGAUACUGUCGGGCUAGAGUCCGGAAGAGGCGAGUGGAAUUCCCGGUGUAGCGGUGAAAUGCGCAGAUAUCGGGAGGAACACCUAUGGCGAAGGCAGCUCGCUGGGACGGAACUGACGCUGAGACGCGAAAGCGUGGGGAGCAAACAGG